This 273-nucleotide ribosomal RNA is filed under the name uncultured prokaryote. RNAcentral's name for it is "partial 16S ribosomal RNA". It matches the Rfam family "Bacterial small subunit ribosomal RNA", at positions 524 to 796 of the family's 1533-position model. The record is from RNAcentral.
UACGAAGGGGGCUAGCGUUGCUCGGAUUUACUGGGCGUAAAGGGCGCGUAGGCGGACACUUAAGUCAGGGGUGAAAUCCCGGGGCUCAACCUCGGAACUGCCUUUGAUACUGGGUGUCUUGAGUGUGAGAGAGGUGUGUGGAACUCCGAGUGUAGAGGUGAAAUUCGUAGAUAUUCGGAAGAACACCAGUGGCGAAGGCGACACACUGGCUCAUUACUGACGCUGAGGCGCGAAAGCGUGGGGAGCAAACAGGAUUAGAUACCCGUGUAGUCC